UUAGUCUUGUAAUUCAAGACUGGCAUGAAAGAGAAAACUAAAGGAAUAAUAUUUUUAUUAUAGUUUUCCAAUUUUACUUUUUAGUAAAAAGGCUAAAAUUCCUCUUAAAGACAAGAAGACCCUGUAAAACUUAACAUAUAAUUAUCCUAUAAAUUAAAUAGUAUGUUUAGCUGGGGCGGCAGAGAACCAAACAUUCUUAUAAUAUUAUAAUAAUUAUCAUACCCAGAAAUUCUGAAAAUUAAACAAGCUACUUCAGGGAUAACAGCGUAAUAUAUUUUGAAAGAUCUUAUUGACAAGUAUGUUUGCGACCUCGAUGUUGGAUUG
RNAcentral lists this ribosomal RNA (324 nucleotides) under Tityus smithii. Its description in RNAcentral is "partial large subunit ribosomal RNA". It matches the Rfam family "Bacterial large subunit ribosomal RNA", at positions 1968 to 2539 of the family's 2925-position model. The record is from RNAcentral. Lineage: Eukaryota; Metazoa; Arthropoda; Arachnida; Scorpiones; Buthidae.